RNAcentral lists this long non-coding RNA (1553 nucleotides) under Triticum aestivum (bread wheat). RNAcentral's name for it is "long non-coding RNA (TAES_LNC006472)". Lineage: Eukaryota; Viridiplantae; Streptophyta; Magnoliopsida; Poales; Poaceae. The record is from RNAcentral.
UCCUCUUCUGCUUCAAGUAAGUUUCUUUUAACAAGAGUUUGUGCUUACUUUGUUUGCAACAUUUAAGAAUUGAUCUUCUCAAUAUCUCCUACUAACAAAAUACAUAUUCCAUCUUACAUUCUUUUCUUUAUUCUAUGCAUCUUAAAUUCUGUGAGAUAUACACGUACUGUACAUUUCCCCCGGGCAUAUAGAGGUCGAUCCUCAAUUCUUUAUUUUAUCUUUAUAAUAAACUAAUUGCUGAUGCUUUAAAUGAUCUUCACCACUCUCUCUAUGCCCUUCUAUAUAUUGUUUUCAUUUAGAGCAUUGUGACAGAAUGAUUGCGUUACUAUUGUGCCGGCUGAUGUUCAGCAUAUAUAUCAGCAAUGUAGUCCGCUUAGAUAAAACAAUUUUUCUCUUCAUAAAACAAUGACACAAUCAAACCUGGAUGACCAAGAUACCGAAAUUACUCUCUUCCCCAGUAUCCUACCAAUUUACAUUCACUCUCUUCUGAAUCGUUGAUUUAUGUAAUCAGGAAGAACAUUUGCUGUUAUUUGCUUGAUCUGAAUUGUUCAUCAAUUUAAUCAUGAAAAUUUAUGUCAAUUAUCUAAUCAGGAAGAAACUUGGGUACUCUUCUCACUCUACUUUGCACAAUCCUUCUUUGGUUGAACUGGCACACCAUGGGGAUUUUAUUCAGAAUCAAAGGUUACACUUAAUUGAACAUACAUGAUACAUUUUGUGAACUGACUUUUAAGGUACAUGAUGUAGCUUUCCUGGUUCCCCAUCUAUAAUUGAAAAAAUACAUUGAUCAGAAUAUUCCUUUUUUGACAUUACAGUGAUAGCAGAUUAUGUGGUUGAAGAAUAUAUGUAUGUACGUGAAGGGUGGAUAGUUUGACUGUUUUAGUUGUUUCUCCAUACUUGUAUUUCAUCUGAUCCAAAUUCUUGCCUUCAAGUUGGCCUACGAUGUGCUAUGACUGAUGUUAGAAAUUAACCAUGCUCUGAUCUGUGUGUAUCAGUUCUCUUGGUAGGAAUUAAGCAGCCGUACGUAACCACUUAAAUGUCACUGGUACCAUAUUUAACCAUGCUCUAUCCAUUCUGAUUUGCAUGUAUGUGCAAGUCCUUUUUUCCAUGAAAGUAGCAGGAGCUGCUAUUUUAUUGGCAAUAUGAGGAAAUGGCUCAUAUGAGAAAAACUAAGUUGGAAAAUACAGGGACUGCAAUCAUGUAUAAAAAUUAUAGAUGUGAACUUACAGAUAAUUAGACAUAUAUGUACUCUAAAGAAGGUGCAUGUAUGAUUUGUUGCCGAUUGUCUGUAAUUUGCAUUUGUCUUUUUCGUACAGAAAUCGGUGUAUCGCAUAUCUUUAUCAACCGGGUGCAUCUUCUUCUCGAUCUGGUGAGGGUGACCUUGUUAACAAAGAUUAUACUGCUUUCUCAAAUGUGAAAUGUCAUGUUCUCCACAAGUAUAUUAUCUUUCUCCCUUUUAUAUUUAGUGAUUAUAGUGUUUCCCCAUGAUUUUAUAUUAGACUUUUUUAUCGCAGCCAUUGCACAUGAAUAGUGUACUACUGAGACAAUAGAUUAUU